CUGGCAAACACAUAGUCCAGCGCAUAUAGAAAUUUAAUCUCUUAAAAAAGACCUUUGCCUGGUGGAGAAGGCACCGAACCGGAGCCCAGUCCCAGUGUGUCACAGAGAAACCAAUUAUCCCAGGAACACCAAACCACAGAAAACAGCCAGGGCAGAGCAGGCAGCGUUUGAUCCAGGCAGCUCCACUCAAACCAGGGGAGCCUUGGUGCAAAUUCUCAUGGUCUAAAAUUGAAAUGAAAAAAAAAAAAAAAGGAGCAACAACAAAACUUAACUGUGAGUUGGUAUCAGCACGCCCAAGUGCUUACAAAGAGCAUGAAUGCUCCCAUGGAGAUUGUUCACAGCCAAAUAAGACAGAGGUCAACCACAUCCCCACCUCACAACCAAACCAGUACAUCUAGUCAACACGCUACUUGAAUUAUUUCACAAAAUAAAUUCAACUGAAAAUGCUCAACAGUGAAUUUGUGAGUUAAUAAAGCAAAACAGCACAGAUCUAUCAACAGCAAGAAGUGAGGAACCACGCCCCUGUGAAACGGUGACUUCGGUAGACAGUAAACGGAGAUAUAAAUCCCAUCCAAAUGUGAACUCACCCAACACUGUGUGCCCCACCUGGACUCUGAAGUUACAAUAGGCUUUGCUUAAAACACAACCACCUCCCUCUGGGAAGUAACUGUCUGGGUAUCCACUCAUACUGCCAUGACUUCACAUAAUUAUCCAGAGCAAUUGCAACAGGAGAGUAAGGAUUUUGUUCCAGUUAAAAUUAAAAAGGGAAAUUCUGGUUUUAGUUAAGAAUUAAUUUAGCUCAACAAUUCACAACUAAAACAUUUCAAUGGAGUUUCUUUUAAAAUAUGAUAAAACCUUAAAAAGUCAGAGGGAAGGAGUUAACCAAAGAGCUCCUGUCCAUGUAUAAAUGGCAGCCUGAGGUCUUCAAUACCUCCAGUUUUAACCUCAGGAUUCAAAAGGGAACAUAGCUCUAAUCCAAACAAGAUGCAGCUAUUACCCAACGUUCUUACUGUUUUCCUCUGGUAACAGCCACCUCAGAGCAUCGCCCUGUUUGCUUCCCACCCCUGCAUGCUGACCAUGCUUGAGGGAGAAGCCUGCAUGGCCCAGAGUCCUCACUGCUGCUCAAAUAAACUACUUCAUUUCAGCAAUCAAACGCUAGCACUGCUGAGAUGACUGGCAGAAGCCAACAGCAGCAGGAUUUCACCUCCUUUGUCCUGGUAGGCGGCUUUCCCCCUGCAAAGCAGGCUGUACUUUUGCUCUGCCCAGGUCCUCACUGGGUGACAGCUACUGGCUGCACUGGCAGGGAAAACUCAGUGCUCUGCAGCAUCAGCAGCCUGCUUCUGUCUGCUCUCACGCUUUUAGACACGUAUUGCCUGAGCAUGUCAUUAAGCAGCAGAUUAACACAUCUGACAGCAUUAGAGCAGAGGGUCACUAUGGCUCCAAAUACGUUUGAAUUCCAACUGUCAAGACAGAAGCAGCUGGGGUUUGGUGGCAGGCUUAUGGCUACAGCCCCACUACAAGCACUCGUGCUGCUUCACUAACACUGCCUACAGCUAAAAGCAAACACACAUUUUGUACAGCAUGCUAUUUAGAGCAGUAAAUGACACGGUGGUGAACAGGUCUGUGCCCAACGUACCCUCGAGCUUACAUCUGUGCCACUGCCAAACAGAAAGAAACUGCAUAUGUAGUCCAGCCUUGGAUUUUUCAGUUAUUUUCUCAGCGUCCCACCUCGUGGCGCCAGUGGGAUUACAACAGGAGAGCCGCUGCCUCCUUCUUCGCCGGCCUCGUGAUGCUCACCUAUGGGGCGAGCACCUUCUUCAGCUUCCGUGCCUGGAAAGGACUCGGCAGCAACGCAGCCACCAGCCAGGCGGCCAGCCAUGCGUGAGGCCGCCAUCAGUGGCGCUGUCCAUGGUGCUGCAGUCACGCCGAUCAGCGCUGUGCUCUCAGGUGACGGCGAGAUGCCGAGGGCCCGCCGAGGCUGAAGCUCCUGGUGGUCCUCACACGGUGCAGAGCAGCCAGCUGCUCACUGGAACACUUGUACCCAGGGGGCUCACCCCAUUGGGUGCACUCCAGUACUAACAUUCACUAAACCAAGCCCACGUGGCUGCCUGUGGUCAUGCACAGAUGCGGUGUAAAUAAUUGCAAUUAACUUCUGUCAGUGGGGGCAGAGCUGGAAGAUGAAGGCUAGGCCAAGAAAGAAGUCUAAACUGUUAUCACACUGAUCUUAACAAUAAAGAAGUCAAAGCACAGUUUUAUGCUUUAAAUAAAUAUCUUCCUAAAUCCAA
This is a long non-coding RNA of Gallus gallus (chicken), 2285 nucleotides long. RefSeq lists it as uncharacterized. NCBI's taxonomy places the organism in Eukaryota, Metazoa, Chordata, Aves, Galliformes, Phasianidae. The record is from RefSeq and is a predicted model, not a curated record. The transcript is spliced from 2 exons.